Molecule: long non-coding RNA, 12155 nt
Filed under: Homo sapiens (human)
Lineage: Eukaryota; Metazoa; Chordata; Mammalia; Primates; Hominidae
Description: HSALNT0318721
Source: RNAcentral
ACUCCUGAGCCUCCACCAUUGCUGUGAAAACAUGCCUGGGAGAGCCUGCUGGAAGACAGUACCCAGAGCAGCGCCCCAGUCUCUCCAGUUGACUAGCCAGGACCAGCCUAGAUCUUCUGACAACUGGAUGACCUUCAGAUAUGUGAGUGAAACCAGCAGAAUUUGCAAGCUGACCACCACCAGAUGCAUGAGCAAUAAGUAUACUGCUUAUGAGGUCUUGUUUGUUAUACAGCCUCAGCUAUGGCAAUAGAUAGCUGAUACAAUAGCACACAUUUGGAGCUUUGUGGACUGGGAACUCAUUGAUCUUCCAAAGAUUUUCCACAUGGUGGGUCCCUGACACGAUCCUUUACAAGAAAUGAGAAGGAAAAGUUUUCUAAAUAGAGAUUCAGAAGGACAAAACAGGCUCUAGCAUCUACAGUAACCUUUAAGAGACAAGGAGCAAGGGAGAAAAGAGCCUCCAUGGAGACUUCCAGAAUAUGCAGGGCACUAAAAAAACUCCUUUUUCCUUUCUCUUUCUCUCUCUCUUUUAAGUAAAACAAGGUCUCACUGUACUGCCCAGGUUGGUUUCAAAUUCCUGGGCUCAAGUGAUCUUCCGACCUUGGUCUCCCAAAGUGGUAGGAUUAUAGGCGUGAGCCACUGCACCUGGCCUUCUUUUUCCAAUGAAGACAGAAAAGAGAAAUGAAGGGUGACCUAAUAAUUAGAAUGCACUGACUCUCCCCUAACCCUAGGCACUGGUUUGCUGUUUCAUUUUCAAAUAUUUGCCUCCGGAAACAGUCAAAUCACUCAGGCUACAGCCGAAAAAUGCUCCUUUGGUUUAUGGCAACGCCAUUGUUACAGGAAAGGGGUUCCGAUCCAGACCCUAAAAGAGGGUUCUUGGAUCUUGUGCAAGAAAGAAUUCAGGGUGAGCCAUACAAAAAAGUGAAAGCAAGUUUAUUAAGAAAAUAAAGGAAUAAAAUAAUGGCUGCUUUAUAGACAGAACACCCAGAGGGCUGCUGGUUGUCUAUUUUUAUGGUUAUUUUUCCAUCAUAUGCUAAACAAUGAGUGGAUUAUUCAUGCCUCCCCUUUCUAGACUAUAUAGGGUAAGUUCCUGACAUUGCCAUGGCAUCCAUAAACUGUCAUGGCGCUGGUGGAAGUGUAGUAGUGAGGAUGACCAGCGGUCACUCUCAUGACCAUCUUGGUUUUGAUGGGUUUUCAGUGGUUUCUUACUGCAACUUGUUUUAUUACCAAGGUCUUUAUGACCUGUGUCUUGUAUCUCCUGUCUCAUCCCGUAACUUAGAAUCCCUUAACCAUCUGGGAAUGCAGCCCAGUAGGCCUUAGCCUCAUUUUACCCAGCUCCUAUUCAAGAUGGAGUUGCUCUGGUUCACACGCCACAGACACUGAGACAGGUGGCCUUACGAAGAUGGGUAAAGCCUGGAAAAGGAGUUUGCACUCCUUACUCUGAGUGGAGGCACAUGCUUCUUAAGUGCACAAGCUUCUGAAGACACAGCCUCUACUUGCUCCUUGGGGCUUUUUUUUUUCUUUCUUUUUCUGGAGACCGAGUCUGGCUCUGCUGCCCAGGCUGGAGUACAGCAAUCUCAGCUCACUGCAGCCUCCGCCUCCCAGGUUCGAGUGGUUGAAUCCUGCCUCAGCCUCCUGAGUAGCUGAGAUUACAGGCAUGCGCCACCAUGCCCGGCUAAUUUUUGUAUUUUUAGUAGAGACAGGGUUCCACCAUGUUGGUCAGGCUGGUCUUGAACUCCUGACCUCAAGUGAUCUGCCCGCCUUGGCCUUCCAAAGUGCUGGGAUUACAGGUGUGAGCCACCAUGCCUGGCCCCUGGGGCUUUUCUUACUCAGCAGCCCUCUAGGCUGCCUCUUCACAGCGGACACCCAACCUUAGAAUGGGCAAAGUGUGGCCCCUGGCCAGCAGCCUGGGCAUCACCCAGGAGCUCAUCAGACCUGCAGAAUCUCAGAGCCCACCCUCACCUAAUGAAUCUAAACUGACAUUUCACUGGAACCACAGGGAAUUUGUGUGCACAUUAAAGUUCAAGGAGCACAGGUCUUAGGAGAUGUAGAGCUCCUCUGGAAGGGCAUAUCAUUUAUUUGGGGUCCAUCCCCACCUCUAGGUGGUGAGUUCUUGAGGGGAGGAUGAUACCUUGUGAGUCUUUGUAUCCCCAGCACCAAGCACUGCGCCUAAAUGUAAUAGGAGCUCAAAACUAAUUUGCUAAACUGCAGUGAGCUGAUGUAACUGAACAGCCAGACUCGUCAAGCUUACUCCCCUAUCUCGUGGACAGGACUUUCCUCUCCAGGAUUCCUGAGCUGCCUGGAGCAGUGACCACCUUUAAUGCACAAAUUUGUCAAAACAAGGCAAACCCCACCUCCCCGCCCCCCCCCCCCCGCCCCCACACACACAGACCCUGGGCAGCUCUGUGCACUCCAGAGAUUUAGGUUUGAACAUUGUGAUGUAAAGCACAACAUCCAGUGCAUUUGAAUAAGUGAGUUUGGGAUCGGCAUUCUGCAUAUAUUAGAAUGUCAAUGAGGAACUUAAAUUAGGGCCCUACUAAAAAAUUUGCUAGGCCUUCAACAGUGGACUCAGAAAUAGACCAGCAGGCAGGGAGGGAGGAAGAGAGGAAAGGAAGAAGGUUAAAAAACUGGGAGAGUGACAGUCGGGGAGGGGGAGGAAAGAAAAAAUAGGCUAGGGCUUAUGGGACCUAAAUUUUACCUUGUUAUUUUCUAGUGGAACUUGGAAUUUUUCACCCCCUCUCACGGUAUCAUUGACAUUAAAUAUCCAAUCUUCUCUGCCCCACAUCAACUUGAGUAAUAAACCACAGCCAAGGUUGGCUGCAUCUGCUCUCUUCCUCCUUACUCAAUUCAAGUUAAGAAUGCUCACACCAUACACUACUAUUGGGAUUUUUAAAAUGAUUUAUUUUGCUACACAGUUCAGACCUUUGAACCAGGCUGGAUGCUGGGUGCUUUGUUGACACAGUAGUUAGGGAUAAAAGGGGAGUUUGGGGAAUUGCAGAAUUCUGACUUUCUAUAAAUCACUAAUUUUAUUGUAGUAAAUAGAGGUCACCUCCUGGAACUUCAGUCGCCUGCCUUGAAAAAUGGCAUGAAACUAUCAAUGUCCAUCUAAAGGAAAAAAACAGGACAAAGAGAGUGGAAGGGAAAAGUAUUUUCUCAGUUUUAGCCAAGGCUGCAUCAAGAAUAUGGCUAGUAUGCUCAAAGCUAUCUUUAAGAGGUGGCCCAGAAACUUCCCAUUUCUUCUUUGAGCACACUGUCUAUUGCCCCUGCCCUAGACGAGAGGCUAAAGGCAAAGAAUGUGGCAAAGUAGCUGGGGUGUGGGGGACCUUGGACAUUCAGUUCUGUCAUGAGCUUAGAAGGGCUAAGCCAGAAGGGAGACUGAAGAGUGCACUCCAAAACUGUGCCCGAUUCAGCUGAGAGUAAUCAAAACAGAUACCACAUAUGGCAGGAGCUGCAAACACAGGCAAACUCAGGGGCCAUGGAGGGAAGGUAAAUGGCUUGGGAGAGUUGCUAAACUGAGAGACUCUAGCUUGAGUUACUCAACAUCUUUCUAACUCCUUCUUUCUUUUUUGUUCUCCUGUUUUUUCUUUCCUUAUUUUAUUUUAUUUUAUUUUGUUUCAUUUUAUUUUAUUUUAUUUUAUUAUUUUAUUGCGUUCUGGGGCACAUGUGAAGGAUGUGCAGGUUUAUUGCAUAGGUAAACAUGUGCCAUGGUGGUUUGCUGCAACUAUCCACCCAUCACCUAAGUACUAAGCCCAGUAUGCAUUAGCUAUUUUUCCUGAUGCUCUCCCUCCUCCCUCCCUUAUUUCUUUUGUGUGUGUGUGUGUGUGUGUGUGUGUGUGUGUGUGUGUCCAGGUCUCGCUAUGUUUCCUAGGCUGGAGUGCAGUGGUGCGACCUCAGCUCACUGCAACCUCUGCCUCCCAAGCUCAAACGAUCCUUCCACCUCAGCCUCCUGAGUGAGAUUACAGGUGCAUGUCACCAGGCCUGGCUAAUUUUUUAAUUUUUUGUAGAGAAGGGGUUUCACCAUGUUGCCCAGGCUGCCUCACUUCUAACCUGUAAGACAUAAGUGGAAGUCCCUGGAAAGUCUUCCUUUCUUGUAUAAAAAAGCAAAGUCUUGCUAGGAGAGAUUUUGUCCUUUGCUCCUUUGCCAUUCCCUCCUCCUUUUCCUGCCUGAAACACAGAUGCCAUAGCUUGCUGUGCAGGAGCCAUCUUGAGAUCAUGAGGACCAAACACUUCAUGCUUAAAGACAGCAGAGCAGCAAGGCUGAGGAGCCUAGGUCCCUGCUGGCAUUGCUCAGCCUCACUGCCAGCCCUGGACAUCUAGCUGCAAGAAGAAAAUUAACCCCUUACUUAUUUAAGCCCCUGUGGUCAGGUUUUCUACUCUACACACAGUGAUAUGCUACCCCCGGCUCUAUCCAUUGUUGCUGUAUAGGAAUGCUGGCUCGGUGUCACAAGAUUUUCUGAUUUUUCAAGAGAAGAUAUAAAUCUGGAUUUUUUAAAAUACAGAAUUUCCCAGUUGGCAGUUGGUAAUUGAUCCCAAUAGAGACAAUUAAUUGAAUUUUUUGAAGACACACUUCCAAUUUGUGAUCUCUGAUUUAUAGAAUCUUUACUCUGGGCCAGAGGCUAUGCUAAGCAUUUUAUAUAGAUGAUCACAUUUAAUCCUGACAACAGUGCUGAAAGUCAUGCUAUUAUUACUUUUUUAUAUAUAGUUUAAGAAACUGAGGCUCAAAAGUUUAGCUAACUUGCCCAAAGCUGUGUAGCUAUAGAGAAAGAGCCAUUAUUACAGCUCAUGCCUGACUUUGGACCAGGCAUUGCUAAUAAUGUGAAUAAUAUGGAGUCAAUCCUCUAUUGCCACAUAAUGCUGCUUGACAAUCCACGUAGAAACUCAGUGGCUUACAACCAGAAUUUACUCUCAUGCUUAUGGUUCUGUAGGAUGACUGUGGUAUGGGUGAUCCCAGUUGGGCUCAGUUGCAUGCCUCUGCUUCAAGCUGUGAUUCCCGUGGGAUAGGGUCUAGGCUGGGAGUUGGGUUCAAGUCCACUCCAUGUGUUUUCACUCUGAAAGGGCAGUAGCUGUGCAGGGUAUGCUCUUCCCUUGGGAGAAUACCAGAAUGUAAGAACCAAGCCCUCAUCGGUGAGUGCAUUUAAGGUCUCUAGUCAUAUUGUGUCUGCUAGCAUUCCAUUGGUCAAAAGAAGCUAUGAUGCUGAGCCCAACAUCUGUGGAGCAGGGAGAUAUACUUGGCCCACAGAAGGAGGGAGCAUGAGCAUUGCUCAACAGUGAUCCAAACAAUCACAACUAUUCUACACAGCCUCAGGAAAAGCUGGCUUUCAUUCCGAUGAAACAAAGACUCCUUUUUUCCCCACUGCCUGUUUGCAAAAAUGGCAGAUGCUGCAAGGACCUGGUAAGUGGGGCACAAAGCCAUGCAAAUCCAUCUGAAGUCAGUUCAUUUCAGAGAUACCACCAGCUUCUGAUGGUGUUACACCCUGGAAAUGGCAGUCCAGCUCUAGCUUCUGGAAGGCAACUGGCAAGAGGUAAGGAAGAGAUGGUGGGAAGGUAGCCCCUCUCCUUGUUGGGGAGGAGCUUUCAUCUUAUUCCAGUUCUCAGCAGUAGAAGCUAUGCCUGGAGACUUCCAGGUGUCUCCUGUCCUGGUUCCUGCCUUGUUCUUUCUCUUUUCCCUCAUCCUCAUUUAUGUUUUCACUCCUCCUUCUCCAAUAUUCCAGAAUAUUCAUUCAUCCAUUCAAUGAAUAGGCAUUUAUUGACCACCUCCUUUGUGCCAAUUGCUGUUCUUGAUGCUGUGGUAACAGCAAGAACAGGACUGAACCCAUCCCAAUUUCCAUCUGAGCUACUUCUAGUAGAGGCUGGCAAAUAACAAACAAGUAAAUAAAAUGAAAAGCAUAAUUUGGGAGAGUGAGAAGUGCUCCCAAGGGCAGACAGAAUGGAGAGGGGAGCAAAGAAAGGGAAGGAGGGUGGAGGAGAAAGGGCCCAGCCUCUUAGUGCCUGACUAGCCCUUUGCUGUGAAGGCUCACCUUUCACGCUUGGCUUCUCCCUGAAGCUGGGAGCUACUUCAGGCAGGAGCCAUAUUUGAUUCAGCUGUGUCCAAGGUCAGACGCAAAGCUUCCCCAAACGCUGUUGGGCAGCAGAUUAUACCACAGUGUCUUGAAAUACCUGCAUGGUGUCUAUGUGAGCAAGACCUGCUGCCUCCAAGUGUCCUGUCGGUUGUGUUAAUCACGUGCAUGGGAGGUGAGGGGUGGUAUGUACUUGGAGGGGGAGCCCAUAGCGAAGGGCAGGGGAGAGAGCCACCAACAGCUUCUCCACUCCUUUUAUGGGAUAAACUGGGUGGUCCCUCCAUGUACACAGGCUUCAUGCAGAGCUCUGGAUAUGCUGCAUUAGACCACCUUGUGCCUCAGUUUACUGGAGGGAUAUAACUAACCUCAUCAGGUUCCCUAGAGCAGAGAUUCUCAACAGGGUAAGAAGUGAUUUUGCCCUGCCAUACCCAUAUCAGGGGACAUUUGGCAAUGUCUGGAAACAUUUUUGAUGAUCACAACUCGGGAGGGAGUACACUGGCAUUUAGUGGGCAGAGGCCAGGGAUGCUGCCAAACAUGCCACAAUGCACAAGGCAGAAUUAUCUGGCUCACAAUGUCAGUAGUGCCCGGGUGCCCUGGAGCCAUGCUUGUUAGCCACCCACCCCUCGUGCAUCUGUGCAGGGGCUCAAUUUAAUUUCUCUAUAUUAUUUUAUUUACUUUGAGAAUGGGUGAUAUAUGCACAUCACAACAUUCCAAAAGAACAAUAGAGGUCAUAGUGAAAAUGCCUCUCUUUCAGUCUUAUUAAUAGCUCUCCUUCCUCUUCCCCACCCCUACUACCUUGUGCAUCUCCUUCCAAACAUACUCUGCCUGUUAGUGCCCCACCUAAUAUCUUAUCGUCUCUCACCUCAACACACCAAAGGCUGCUUUUUGUGACUAUCCAAAUUUUUCUGCCUGGGGGCUUUUUGUUCUGGCCCUGGGAGCACCUUUGGCAAACUGGAAUUGCCCAAGAGUUAAUGCUCCUGGAAGUAGCCCACAACCAAAGACAGGUGGAAAGUUGGUGGAUAAAUACCUCAGCUUAUCUUAGGUGAGAUAACUCUGAAGGGAGUUCUACACUGUUGGCUUGUUUCACCCUGCAGGAUUGCCGUCCAGUUGCUCUCAGUGGUAACGUUCUUGAUAUUUUCCCUUAAUUGACUACCUUUUCUUCCUUGCCUUACUUCUCCACUCUCCUAUCGGAAUUUCCUGGGAUUGCAAGCGAACAUCUCAGAGUGUGAUUCUGGAGGAACCCAAACUAAGAGAGGGCUAUCUAUAUCUAUCUAUAUCUAGAUCUAGAUCUAUAUCUAUCUAUAUCUAGAUCUAGAUCUAUAUCUAUCUAUCUAUAUAUACAUACCUAUGUAUACAUACAUAGGUAUACAUGUAUAUAUACACACACAUAUAUUCAUAUGUGUAUAUGUGUAUGUGUAGUAUAUAUGUGUAUAUAUAGAUACAGUUUUUACACAAGUGAUAACGUUCUACAUCUUGCUUUUUCACUUAAUUAUAUAUCUUGGUGGUGUUCCUUAUCAGUAUAGUGAGCUACUAAUAUCUUAUUAUUUCUUGCAACAUUCUAUUUCAUUAUAUAGAUAUCCCAUAACUUAUGGGCAUCUAGAUAGAUUUUCAUCUGUGUUUAUCAGUGCCCUUGAAACAGUGCCCUUGAAACAGUUUAUCAGUGCUCUUAUACAUUUGAUAUAAUUUCUUCCAGAGUCAUGAGAUAUGCAUGUUUAAAAUUUUGAUAGACAUUGCCAAUUCUUUAUAAAGCCUACACCAAUUUAUAGCUUCUCACCAGCAACAUAUGAGUUGAAACUUGGUGCUGAAAAGAUGAAGCCAAAUGUUUAGGUUGCCUUUUGUCCCUGCUUUGGUCUCUGCUCAAAGCAUGUCCUCUCUUCUGUACCUUGGAAGUGGACAUGAGCAUGGAACUCCCAGGCUGUGGAAUACCAGGUGAAUGAGUGCAGCCAGGAGGCACCCGGUGGUGUUCCUGAAGGUGUGGACACACAUACACACAGCAAACCCACUUGCUCUCCAGAUAGUUGGAAUCCUUGUUGGUUAAACGUUAUGGAGGAACAAAGUGGUGAACACCUCAAAGAUGAAGUUUCCAAAUCAGAUUCAAUAGUGAGAUAUUGAAGGGAUAUAUGCACUUCCCUUGAUAGGCCCCUUGCAAUUGAGUAGGGGCAAAUAUUAAUACAUUCUGAGUGCUCACUGUGUGCCUGGCUGAGAGCCAAAUGCAUUCCUUGCAUCUUCUUAUCAUCUCAUAGCAACCCUAUAUUGAAGAUGAUGUUCUUAUUCCUGUCUUUUAAUGAGGUUACUGGAUGAUAAAUAUAUUAAUUGACCACUUAGCAGAUGGAAACUAUUGAAAGCCUAACCCAAACUGCCAGGGUUAAAAUCCUGGCUGUUUCUCUUAUGAGUUGGGUAACCUUAGGCAAGAUGCCCUUCUUCUCUUUGGUGCUUCUAUUUUCUCCUCUGUAAAAUGGAGACAUUGCUAUGAAGGUGAAAUAAGUUAAUAGAUAGAAAAUGCUCAGAAAAAAUGGGCUAUCUAAUCAUUGUCUAUAUGACUCUUGAAACUGGAAUUUAUUCACUGUAUUUUACAGUAUCCCAGCAGUCCAGUUCAUUUUUUUAAUUUAUUUUAUUAUUUAUUUAUUUAUUUAUUUUGAGAGUGUCUCGCUCUGUCACCCAUGCUGGAGUACAGUGGCCCAAUCUCGGCUCACUGUAACCUCUGCCUCCCGGGUUCAAGCGAUUCUCGUGCCUCAGCUUCCUGAGUAGCUGGGAUUACAGAUGUGCACCACCACACCUGGCUAAUUUUUGUAUUUUUAGUAGACACGGGGUUUCGCCAUGUUGGCCAGGCUGGUCUUGAACUCCUGACCUCAGGUGAUCCACCUGCCUCGGCCUCCCAAAGUGCUGGGAUUACAGGCAUGAGCCACCAUGCCCGGCCCUGGCCAGUUCAUUUUUAAAAACUGAAAUUUUAAGAGUUUAAGAAAAUAAAUGAAAGAGAUACAAGUUUUAUUUCAGAAUUCUCAAAGCGUACUGAGGAUUGUUGCUGGAACCACGCUUAUGCCUCCGCUGUACGGCUGGCUGGGGGCUCCUGGGGUGGGAGCCGAUUACACCACCGUGAGCAGCAGUGAUAGAAGCACAAGUCGGCACCGACUGUUAGGCUCAUCUGCAGAAAUCCAGGCUCUCUGCAUUCUGGAAUAAUUUGAUCCACACCAUCUGGCAGCUUGAAAGAAGAAGAAAAAGAUGAAGAGGGAGAAGAAACAACAGCCAUGUAGCAUGAAUGUAAUUCCUAAUCUAAGUUAUGCACUCCCAUUUGCUUCAUGUAAUAUGAGCCAAAUUUAAACAUGUCAACAUCUCAACAAUUGCUGAUUUUUCAAGUGCUAUACGAUGCAUCUGGCGGGCACUCAUUGAAUGUUCUUCAAUGAUGUGACAUAAAUCUAUUUACUAAAAUAGAGUGUAUUGAAAAAGUAAAUAGUAUAUUGUAAUGUUCUUGAGUUGGCGUUUGCAUAAAUUGGGACUCUCUGAAAUAUGUGGGUUUGAGAUUUAAAAGCACAUGACUAUGUUUUUAAAUGUUCAAAGCAUCAUAAUUGUAGCGCUUACAAACCAUUGAGUCUAUUUCUCUCAUUUUAAGCAUAAGAAAACAGCCGAAGAUUAGAUUUUGAUAAUGAGAGAGCCCAACGAUCCUGGACCCCUGGCCGGGAGGACAAUAGGGGAAACAGGUGAAACACUGUGUGAGCUGGACCACCCAGGCUCUCCAACACCAGGACACCAGAGCAUCCUUCCUCCUUCUUCUCUUCUGCUGCGACUUCCUGGAGGCAUAGCAGAGUUACAACUGCUGGCCAUGUGGAACUUCUCUUCUCCUAUAAGUUUGCUCUGAGAUGGAGAGAUUGUGCCUGUGGUUCAUUAGGAAGAGCUCUUGGGAUCAAUGCCUGUAAUAAGGAAGGGAAGGAAUCAGGAUUGGCCAGAAGGAGAAGUUGAGCUGUGUUGAAGCCUCAAUGGAGACCUCAGCCAAUUCUGAGUCAUGUCCUGAAGCUAGAAUAUGUCCUCUAAAUUAUCCCAAGCUGAGAUGAGGGAGCUGGGCAUUUAGCCCUGUAUUAGGCCAUUCUUGCACUGCUAUAAAGAAAUAACUAUGGCCUGGCGCCGUGGCUCACGUCCUUAAUCCUAGCACUUUGGGAGGCCGAGGCGAGCAGAUCACGAGGUCAGAGUUUGACACCAGCCUGGCCAAUAUGGUGAAACCCCAAUUCUACUAAAAAUACGAAAAUUAGCCAGGCGUGGUGGCACAUGUCUGUAAUCUCAGCUACUCGGGAGGCUGAGGCAGGAGAAUUGCUUGAACCCAGGAAGUGGAGGUUGCAGUGAGCUGAGAUUGUGCCUCUGCACUCCAGCCUAGGGAAUAAAGCGAAAGUCUGUCAAAAAAAAAAAAAAAAAGGAAAGAAGGAAAUAACUGAGACUGGUAAUUUAUAAAGAAGAGGUUUAAUUGGCUCACAGUUCCUCAUGCUAUACAAAAAGCAUGAUGCUGGCAUCUGCUCAGCUUCUUGGGAGGCCUCAGGAAAUGUACAAUCAUGGCAGAAGGUGACGCGGGAGCAGGCAGUUCACAGGGCCGGUGCAGGAGGAGAGAGAGAGGCAGGAGAUGCUACACGCCUUUAAACAACCAGAUCUCCUGAUAACUCACUCUCGUCACAACACCACCAAGGGAGAUGGUGUUAAACCAUGAGAAACCACCUCCACGAUCCAAUCACCUCCCACCAGGCCUCACCUCCAACACUGGGGAUUUAUAAUUCCACGUGAGAUUUGGGUAGAGGACACAGAUCCAAAAUAUAUCAUACCCCCACGUUGAUCAGUCAUUAGAUGUGGGCCACCCUAGUUGAGGCAGCUCCCCUCGCUCAGGUGGUUCCUGAAGCGAGCUGACAGCUGACGGCUGCAUGCCAGAGGUACUGUCAGCAGCUGAAGGAGAGUCUUUUGUGCUAAAAGCCAUCUUAAGCAGCACAGCACAGCGUCCACCACAUAUUGUGGACAGGUGAUAUGGUUUAGAUCUGUAUCCCCACCACAAUUUCAUGCUGAAUUGUAGUCCCCAAUGUUGGAGGUAAGCCCUGGUGGGAGGUGUUCGGGUCGUGGGAGCAGAUCCCUCAUGAAUGGCUUGGGCCAUCCUCUUGGUGAUGAGGGAACACUCACUCUGAGUGUUCACAAGAUCUGGUGGUUUAAACGUGUAUGGCACCUCUCCCCACCCCCACUCUUUCUUGUUCCUGCUUUUGCCAUGGGACUCGCAUGAUCCCUUUGCCUUCUGCCAGGACUAAAAGCUCCCUGGAGCCUCCUCAGAAGCUGAGCGAUGUUGGCGCCAUGCUUCUGGUACAGCCUGCAGAACCAUGAGCCAAUUCAACCUCCUUUCUUUAUAAAUUACCCAGUCUCAGGUAUUUCUUUAUGGCAAUACAAGAACACCAGGGGUUUGCAGGUAACCCGGGCCCCUGUCCUUGAGGACACAGCAGCAAGCCAUUGGUAAAGCAAAACUGUCCAUAAGGAAGGCUGCUCCCAUGCAGUGUUCAUUUGGGCAGCCCAGAAAUCGAGAAAUCCUCGGUCCAUUUCAAGUUUGGGGGAAAACUUAUUUUUAUCAUAUUUGAGAUGAAUAAUAAAAGCAAAUCCAGAAGUCGGAUGGCAUCUUUUAUUGGACUUAGACCUGGUGUUGUUGAAUGGGAUUAGAUCUGUGGGAUGAAGAAUGAAUCCUGAUUCACAGCCACUGCCCUAUACUGGACUUAUGGAGUCCACCCCUGACACACUGUGGCCUCGGGUGCUGAGACUUCCACAGGGUUUUGGAACUGCCCAGAUACAUGUGUGCCAAUUGGAGCCUGGGGUCUGUAUGUCUGUCUUCCAGAACUAAAGAUCUCUCAGAUCCAAAACUGGCUACAUAUUCUGGAGCAUGGAACUUUAAUUUCCUCUUUUAUUUGUUCAUUUGUUCAUCUAUGCAUUUGACAGGUAUUUACUGAAACUAGAUUGCAACUCAACCAGAUGUAGUGGGAGAGGCAGAUAAUUGAAAAAGGAAGUACAAUGGUGUGGGAAAAGUAUUAGGAAAGAGGAAGUGCAGGGUUGUAUGGGAGCUCGAGGAGGAACGGAGAAAGUCUCCCAGGAAAUAAGGGC